This 766-nucleotide ribosomal RNA is filed under the name Rossellomorea marisflavi. Its description in RNAcentral is "bacterial SSU rRNA". It matches the Rfam family "Bacterial small subunit ribosomal RNA", at positions 108 to 856 of the family's 1533-position model. Lineage: Bacteria; Bacillati; Bacillota; Bacilli; Caryophanales; Bacillaceae. The record is from RNAcentral.
GAGUAACACGUGGGUAACCUGCCUGUAAGACUGGGAUAACUCCGGGAAACCGGGGCUAAUACCGGAUAACACCUACCCCCGCAUGGGGGAAGGUUGAAAGGUGGCUUCGGCUAUCACUUACAGAUGGACCCGCGGCGCAUUAGCUAGUUGGUGAGGUAAUGGCUCACCAAGGCGACGAUGCGUAGCCGACCUGAGAGGGUGAUCGGCCACACUGGGACUGAGACACGGCCCAGACUCCUACGGGAGGCAGCAGUAGGGAAUCUUCCGCAAUGGACGAAAGUCUGACGGAGCAACGCCGCGUGAGUGAAGAAGGUUUUCGGAUCGUAAAACUCUGUUGUUAGGGAAGAACAAGUGCCGUUCGAAUAGGGCGGCGCCUUGACGGUACCUAACCAGAAAGCCACGGCUAACUACGUGCCAGCAGCCGCGGUAAUACGUAGGUGGCAAGCGUUGUCCGGAAUUAUUGGGCGUAAAGCGCGCGCAGGUGGUUUCUUAAGUCUGAUGUGAAAGCCCACGGCUCAACCGUGGAGGGUCAUUGGAAACUGGGGAACUUGAGUGCAGAAGAGGAAAGUGGAAUUCCAAGUGUAGCGGUGAAAUGCGUAGAUAUUUGGAGGAACACCAGUGGCGAAGGCGACUUUCUGGUCUGUAACUGACACUGAGGCGCGAAAGCGUGGGGGAGCAAACAGGAUUAGAUACCCUGGUAGUCCACGCCGUAAAACGAUGAGUGCUAAGUGUUAGAGGGUUUCCGCCCUUUAGUGCUGCAGCUAAC